RNA transcript from Zingiber officinale, 4105 nucleotides. It is a transcript of the gene named DNA annealing helicase and endonuclease ZRANB3-like, with no coding region annotated. The transcript is spliced from 27 exons. The record is from RefSeq and is a predicted model, not a curated record. Lineage: Eukaryota; Viridiplantae; Streptophyta; Magnoliopsida; Zingiberales; Zingiberaceae.
UCCUCUCUCUUCGUUCCUCUUGGGUUCCUGACUCACUACCGUCCCGUGCUCUUCAAAACCCUAAUCGACGGUGCACAACUUCCUCGUUUUCGAUCCGUUUCUGUUUCCUCCGUGGCUUCUUGGUCUCGACUUCCGUACCGAGGGCUCAAUGAUGGAGGUCACCGAGGAGCAGAGAAGGAGGGCUGAGGCGAACCGGCUGGCUGCCCUCGAGAAGAGGAAGCGUGCGGCGGAGCUAGCGGAUUCCAGGCCCUGGAAGUUAUCUAGGUGCCCCAGCAUACCAUGCCCCAAGCCGGUGGAACCUCGGGCCCCGCCGGUUUCCCCGUUCAGGGUCGUCCUCGAAAUAUGCUCUGCCGAUGAGUUCUCUGCCGCCCCGGAGCCUAUUCAGGGUUCUUGGUUCCCAGGGGAGGCUGAGUGCCUCCGGAUCAUUGAAAACUGCGUGUUAUCGGUUGUUCCAUUUCAACCAACGCUGAGCCAGAGUGGUCGCAUGAUUUCCGUCUUCAAGCUUUUAGAUUAUGAUUUAGUGUCAAGAUGCAUAAAGAAGUUAGCAGUGGUUGAAUUGCAAGAAAUUCCUUACACUACACGUUUGGUCGUCAAGAAGUUCUCACAAUCUGUAGGCAUACAGUGGACACCUUGCAUGGAGGGCCAUCAUUCUGAGGAACAGGUUGAUGAGCUUCUUGUAAAACUGCCGAAGACCCUUAGAGAUUCACUUCUUCCAUUUCAACUUGAAGGUGUUCGGUUUGCACUUCAAAGGGGUGGGCGGUGUCUCAUUGCAGAUGAGAUGGGACUAGGAAAGACCAUACAGGCAAUUGCUAUUGCAUGCUGCUUCAAUGAUGAAGGCCCCAUUCUAAUUGUUUGCCCAGCUGUCUUGAGAUUUUCUUGGGCUGAGGAGAUAGAACAUUGGCUUCCAACAUUGCUGCCAAAGGAUAUACAUCUCGUAUUUGGUCAUCAAGAUAAUCUUGAUUAUUUGGAAAGACAUCCAAAGGUGGUGGUUAUAUCAUAUACGAUGUUGAGUCGGCUGCGUAAAGCUAUGUUAGAAAGAAACUGGUCAGUUAUAAUUGUUGAUGAAUCACAUAAUAUACGCUGCACCAAAAAACAAUUUGAGUCAGAAGAGACAAAAUCUGUGCUUGAAUUGGCAAGAAAGACCAAGCGAAUUAUUCUACUGUCAGGGACACCUUCUUUGUCAAGACCCUACGACAUUUACCAUCAGAUUAAUAUGUUAUGGUUCAGGCCUGGGUUACUUGGUAAGGAUAAAUAUGAGUUUGCAAAGAACUAUUGUUCUGUCAAACUUGUUCAAGGCUCUCAAGGGACCUUUUUUAAGGACUUCUCAAAGGGCAUCAGAUUGGGGGAGCUUAAUAUAUUGCUCAGGCAGACUGUUAUGGUGAGACGUUUGAAGGAACAUGUAUUGUCUCAAUUGCCUCCUAAACGUCGCCAAAUUAUAUGGAUGGUGCUGAAGGCAGCUGAUACUCUUUUAGCAAAAGCAACAUGUAGGACUAGUGGCACAAUUUCCAUGGAUGGAGAACUAAGAGAGGAAUCUUCUAAAGACUGUUGCUUGGAUGAUGAUACAUAUGAUGGAGAUCAGAAAUCAGAGAAACAUUAUCCGUGCUCAGGUAGUCAGUGCAAAAAAAGUCAAAAACACCUUUCCCGUCAAGUAAUUGGCAUUGCAAAGUUAUCUGGGUUUCGUGAGUGGUUCUCCAACCAUUUCACUUUUGGAGAAUCAGAAGAUGUGGAUAAUUUGGAGACGGAACGACGCUCUCAGAAAACUAUAAUAUUUGCUCAUCAUUUAAUGGUUCUAGAUGGAAUACAGGCAUUUAUAUCUGAGAAAGGCAUUAAAUUUGUUCGUCUUGAUGGCAACACACUCGGUAGAGAGAGGAAACAUGCUAUUGAUACUUUUUGUUUCUCAGAUGAGGUUAUGAUUGCAAUAAUUGGAAUAACUGUUGGGAGCUGUGGAUUAAAUCUUUCAUCAGCUCAAAAUGUCAUCUUCUUAGAGCUGCCGGAAACUUCAGCAGAAAUGAUACAGGCCGAAGAUAGAGCUCAUAGGCAAGGACAAAAGAAUGCAGUCAACAUAUAUAUCUUCUGUGCAAAGGGCACAACUGAUGAAUCACGUUGGCUGCGACUUAACAGAAGUUUAUUUGGUUGCUCAACAAUGGCAAAUGGAAAAAAAUAUGCCAUAAAAGAGAUAGAGGUUGGCUCAGUUCUUCAACUGGGAUGUAAAGAUUCUUCAAUUGUUUCUAAGGCCAUUCCUACUGGUGACCCAAAUGGAAGAUUAGUUGUGCAUAAUGUACAUGGACAUGAAAAUAGCGCUCUUCAUGAACAGACCAAUACUCACGAUGUAGAGUUGGAAAAUCAUUCUUUAAAUCUUGGAAAACACGACAUCCACAAUAUUGAAGGUAGACACAGAGAAAAAUAUAACAGUGGUUUUGAAGGCAAUUCAAGUGAAAUAUGCAAAGGUGAUAUGGAGUUUGAUUUGCUGGAGAAUAGUUGUGAUGAGGAAAAGAAACUUGUUGGAAUGCAGCAUGACACGGACGGUGGUGUUUCUCAGGAAUUAAUAGCUGAUGAAACUUUCAACAUUAAAGUAGAGUGGCUGCGAUUUGAUGUGAGCCAAUAUACUGGGCGAGUUCACUUGUACACUUGCAUUCCAGGAAAACACUCUCGGCCAGAACCACUUUUUGAGAAUUUCCGUCUGGAGGAACUGAACUCUAUUAUGGCUUCUUCUGGUGAUAAAUGUGAAGCCACUCCAGAAAACUUGAUCAGAAAUCCUGCAUACUGGAAUGUCUUCAAAUUUUUUUUUGAAGAGUGGAACAAUUUAAGGCCAAUUGAGCGGAAUAAACUUUUUGGAAAACCUUUACAACUUCCCCUUAUUGCUGAACUCUGCUACUUAAAGGAGGGUAUCAACCAUAGUUCCGGGGGAUUGCUGCGAGGUGGAAGUACGAGACGGGUUACUCCUUUAAGUGACAUUUGCCGCCCUUUACCUGAGAACUCUGCUUGGAAGAAGAUUAUAUUGCAACGCGGGGCUGCAAAGGAAAGAGAAUACACUCAGGCAUGGACUACCAAUGAUGUUCCUCUGUGUAAACUCUGCCAACAACCUUGCAAUGGAAAGUUCGCAAAAGCACCUCAAUAUUUUGAGGACCUAUUUUGUAACCUGAGCUGCUUUCACGAGUACCGCAUAAGAACUAGCCAAAGAGCCCUCAGAGAGGCACUUUUCAGAAUUGAACAAGGGGUAUGCACUAAUUGCAAGCUAGAUUGUCACAAUCUAGUCAGAUGUAUAAGACCUUUAUCCAAAGCUUACCGAAAGGAAUACAUCGAGAGGGUUGCUCCAAAGUUGGCUCAGAAAAAGAAGCUGCUUGAUAAGCUUGUCCAUGACCCAAAGGAAGGAAAUGCCUGGCAUGCAGACCACAUAAUUCCAGUAUUCAAGGGAGGCGGUGAGUGUCAGCUUGAAAAUAUGAGGACUUUGUGCGUGGCUUGUCAUUUAGAGGUCACCAAAGCUCAGCAGCUUGAACGUCGAAUGGUUAGGAAGAUGGCUAAAGAACAACUAAAAAUCAUCAUGAAGCAACUGGAAACUGCUAAAUUUUUGACAUCCGGUUAUGACGAAGAUGGCAAAACACAAGAUGCUGAAGAGAGACUGUUUAUCAAGGUACCUGGUAGUGUUUAUUCAAUCGAUGACGGCAUUUCUGGGAACCUUGAAAAUGAUAUUUCUAUAGGCUGCUAAACGCCUGAAUCUCACAUCUGCUGUGCUUAUUGAUUCACAUCAAGAUAAUCAUAAAGGAAACCUCAUUCAUCCUGCUAAACAAAUUAUGUAAACAAUGAAAAAGGUUCUCUUGCAGAGGAUACAGAUUGAUUUUGUGAUUCCUUCGAUGAGCAUUUGUUCUGGCAUCUAUAGCUUUUGUGCUCACAUAGUGUCCUUCAAUUACGAAGACCUCGGAGAAGACCAAGAAGAAGAUAAAAUUUUAAUUUUCCAUUUUUGCCUAUAGAAUAAUAAGCAAUCAAACUCUGCAGCACUUGUAUUUCGCCAAGAGAGAGGGAUAACUUAAACUUGAGCGAGCCCCGAUCAUUUUACUGAAAAGCACAGUAUUUAGCAAAAAUUCGUAUGAAUUAAUUGUACCUGAAA